AUUGAACGCUGGCGGCAUGCCUUACACAUGCAAGUCGAACGGUAACAGGUCCUCGGAUGCUGACGAGUGGCGAACGGGUGAGUAAUACAUCGGAACGUGCCUAGUAGUGGGGGAUAACUACUCGAAAGAGUGGCUAAUACCGCAUGAGAUCUACGGAUGAAAGCAGGGGAUCGCAAGACCUUGUGCUACUAGAGCGGCCGAUGGCAGAUUAGGUAGUUGGUGGGAUAAAAGCUUACCAAGCCGACGAUCUGUAGCUGGUCUGAGAGGACGAUCAGCCACACUGGGACGGAGACACGGACCAGACGCCUACGGGAGGCAGCAGUGGGGAAUUUUGGACAAUGGGCGAAAGCCUGAUCCAGCAAUGCCGCGUGCAGGAUGAAGGCCUUCGGGUUGUAAACUGCUUUUGUACGGAACGAAAAGCCCCGGGUUAAUACCCUGGGGUCAUGACGGUACCGUAAGAAUAAGCACCGGCUAACUACGUGCCAGCCGCCGCAGUAA
RNAcentral lists this ribosomal RNA (498 nucleotides) under uncultured bacterium. RNAcentral's name for it is "partial 16S ribosomal RNA". It matches the Rfam family "Bacterial small subunit ribosomal RNA", at positions 30 to 523 of the family's 1533-position model. The record is from RNAcentral.